CUACGGGAGGCAGCAGUGGGGAAUAUUGGACAAUGGGCGCAAGCCUGAUCCAGCCAUGCCGCGUGAGUGAUGAAGGCCUUAGGGUUGUAAAGCUCUUUCGCCAGGGACGAUAAUGACGGUACCUGGAUAAGAAGCCCCGGCAAACUUCGUGCCAGCAGCCGCGGUAAUACGAAGGGGGCUAGCGUUGUUCGGAAUCACUGGGCGUAAAGCGCAUGCAGGCGGAUCGUUAAGUCGGGGGUGAAAUCCCGAGGCUCAACCUCGGAACUGCCUCCGAUACUGGCGAUCUUGAGUCCGGAAGAGGUGAGUGGAAUUGCGAGUGUAGAGGUGAAAUUCGUAGAUAUUCGCAAGAACACCAGUGGCGAAGGCGGCUCACUGGUCCGGUACUGACGCUGAGAUGCGAAAGCGUGGGGAGCAAACAGGAUUAGAAACCCGGGUAGUCC
RNAcentral lists this ribosomal RNA (440 nucleotides) under uncultured bacterium. Its description in RNAcentral is "bacterial SSU rRNA". It matches the Rfam family "Bacterial small subunit ribosomal RNA", at positions 339 to 796 of the family's 1533-position model. The record is from RNAcentral.